Long non-coding RNA from Solanum tuberosum (potato), 1206 nucleotides. RefSeq lists it as uncharacterized. The transcript has 7 exons. Lineage: Eukaryota; Viridiplantae; Streptophyta; Magnoliopsida; Solanales; Solanaceae. The record is from RefSeq and is a predicted model, not a curated record.
AAUCAAUUGUAAUUAUUUUUACUUCCCCCAAUUCCUUUUUACUUCGAGUUUUCCUCCAUCUUCACCCUUCAACGAAAUCAGCAGAACGACGAUGGAAAACAACACGAUGGAGAUAGAAAUUCACACAACUACAGUGGAGUUAGGCACACUAACAGUGUAAUCCGGCACAACGGUGGUGGAGUUCAGCACAACGAUAGUGAAAUUCAGCACAUCGGUGCUAUUGAUGAGAAUUAAGAGGAAUCAAAGCCACCGACGUCUCUUCACAAGCUCACCGUCAGCAGUCCGUAUUCGUAUAGGCAAAUUCAUCAUCGCCAUUGCCUCAUAUUCGAUCAGAUCGAAUUUUAACGGUACGACGAUGGCGUUGGUGACUACUAAUAUCCAUUUUAUUCAGUUGUUGGGUCAUAAUUGCAGAUAGCAAUCAAACUAGCUAUUGUGGAGUUCGAUUUUUGAUCUCCUAUUUGAAGGAUUAUAUCUUCAUUCUGCCACCGAGACAAAGCUUUUUGUGGAUACUUCAAGAGGAGAAACACUGCGCAUCAAUUUUGAUAUCACCUUUCCAGCAAUUCCAUGUUCAAUUCCCAGUGUUGAUGUCAUGGAUAUCAGUGGAGAGAAACAUCUUGACAUUGCAUAUGGCCUAUAUUAUGGAUACAAAUGAAGAAGAGAGGGUGAAGGGAAUAACAGUUGAAGUUGGAAGAGCACCUUUUGAAAUAGAGACGACGAGAUUUACAAUUCUUGAUGCCCUGGUUAGUAGUGAGCAUUCAUUGACCAAGGAAAUUGUUUGAUAUGCUAAAAAGUUUUCGAGAGCAUGAGAAGAACUCUAAGUGGACAGAAAUUCGAGGAUUUGAAUCCAUAACCAGCCAAGGUGUCAAAGCUUUUAACUGAAAUGAAUUAGGAAAUUUAUAAUUUGAAACAAGAGCCUGAUGUUGGAUCAAGACAGAUCUAUUCCAGUUGAUGAUGAAGUGUUAGCAGAAACAGAAUAAUUGGCACAUACUGCAGAUGCUCGUGACCCCGAAAGAUGCCAUAAUUUAUCUAGUGUAAAUAUUUAUUGAUCAAUUUUUUUGUUUUUACAUUGUUGAAUGCAUUCUUUUAUUUUUUAUAAUUCAUUUUUUUUACCAUGGGAAGACAGAGAAGUGGAUGUGUUGAGUUUGAAUAUUGUUAAGUGAAUGACAUUGUUUGAGUUUGGUAAGUUUGUUUAUUAUUAUCUUUGAA